AACGAACGCUGGCGGCAGGCCUAACACAUGCAAGUCGAACGCCCGUAGCAAUACGGGAGUGGCAGACGGGUGAGUAACGCGUGGGAACGUGCCCUUCGGUUCGGAAUAACUCAGGGAAACUUGAGGCUAAUACCGGAUACGUCCGUAAGGAGAAAGAUUUAUCGCCGAAGGAUCGGCCCGCGUCGGAUUAGCUAGUUGGUGAGGUAAUGGCUCACCAAGGCGACGAUCCGUAGCUGGUCNGAGA
RNAcentral lists this ribosomal RNA (244 nucleotides) under uncultured bacterium. RNAcentral describes it as "partial 16S ribosomal RNA". It matches the Rfam family "Bacterial small subunit ribosomal RNA", at positions 29 to 297 of the family's 1533-position model. The record is from RNAcentral.